Molecule: long non-coding RNA, 439 nt
Organism: Diorhabda carinulata
Lineage: Eukaryota; Metazoa; Arthropoda; Insecta; Coleoptera; Chrysomelidae
Exons: 4
Source: RefSeq, a predicted model, not a curated record
UACUUCCUACAUUGAUAAUAAAAUGAAUUGUCGAUCAAAAAGCAUGUUGUAAUUAUUUGAUAGAUCUCAAAAAAUGAUGAAGUGCUUGCUAUUCUUUUUAUUUUUGGGGUUUGCUUGUCUCUUUUCAGCUGAGGAACAACAAUCACAUGACUUUAUCGAGUUUAUCGACUACGUACUUGGUAGGAAUGCGGAUGGUAAAGGUGUUGAUCAUGGAUUUGAUAUUAUAGUCAAUGGAAAUAGAAGAUACGUCAUUCCAAAAAAAGUGUUAAAUAUAAAACGACACAACUUUAAUUUUGUGCAACUACCAGGUCAGAAUGAAUAUAUCCCAAUAGCAUGAGAAGUUUCGUGAGUUUCAGAUGAUUCCUAAAAGAAAUGUUGGAGCAUUCAACCUAAAUUAAAAAAAACACUAUGUUGUUUGAAUAAAUAUUUUGUAAAUCCA